UACGUAGGUGGCGAGCGUUGUCCGGAUUUACUGGGCGUAAAGAGCGCGCAGGCGGUCGUACAAGUCGCGUGUGAAGGCCCCCGGCUCAACUGGGGAGGGUCACGCGAUACUGUUCGACUCGAAGGCAGGAGAGGGAAGCGGAAUUCCCGGUGUAGUGGUGAAAUGCGUAGAUAUCGGGAGGAACACCAGUGGCGAAGGCGGCUUCCUGGCCUGUUCUUGACGCUGAGGCGCGAAAGCUAGGGUAGCAAACGGG
Molecule: ribosomal RNA, 253 nt
Filed under: uncultured bacterium
Lineage: Bacteria
Description: partial 16S ribosomal RNA
Rfam family: Bacterial small subunit ribosomal RNA
Source: RNAcentral